UUAGUCUAGGUCCAACUUUUCGUUCAACCCAUCACUUUCAUCGACGAUUGAUCGACUUCACAUUCCUCUUUCUCCGAAACCCAGUUGUUUUCACCUCUUAGCUUCCCCCUUGUAACGUUAAAAUUGUGACUCAUAAAGCUUUAUCAUUUAGUGCAAUCACUAUAUAUCUAUUCUUCACUUCGAAUUUGUUGAGAAGAAGAAGAAAUACGACGUAUAAUCUAUCUUUCCCCGGUCAUGCCAAUGUCAUCAACUCUGGAUCAAGCACUAAUCUCUGUCGUCGAUCCAACACUGAUCACGAAGUAGUCAGAAAACCCUCAUCACCAAAAGCCAAGGAUAACAGAAAGUCAUCAUCCGACUUCCCAGACUUCUCAUCGUUGAGUUCAUCACGUUCUUUUGGGUUCUUCAUCUUCCAUUACAUCCUUAAAUCCUUGGAAAAUAUUCUGAGAGCUCUCUUGCUUAAUCAGAAAAGGGAUUAUUCGUAACUCUUACCGCUUUUAACGACUUCACAGCGAGAUGGCUUCACCAAAAUGGAACUGAUCUGAGAAACUCAAAUCCUUAUUGGCGCCACCUUCAUCACCAACGGUGGUAUCCAAGAAGCCAGUGCCGUCCUAAUAAUUUGAGUAGUGAUUUAAGUUGAGGCUUGAGGCGUAUUGAUGACGCAACCACCAGAUUGUUCUACUUCAUAUGAUCGUUUAGUCGGAUCCAGUAACACGCUUUUGAGACUGUGGAUCCCAGGCAACUAAAGGACCCAUUGUUGCUGAUAAUAAUUGUGAGAAAACUCACUACAGGGCACCAAACACAUAUUGAUGUGGGGCUGGAACAGCAGAAUAUACAUUCCUAGCUAUGAAGAGCUACAACAAUGUACUGUUUGAUGAAAAGUUGCAACUCACUCCUUUGAGGCGCCCUCCAAUGUAAGUAUGUAGCGGUUUCUAUCAUCUAAUUGUAUCAUAAUUAGUGACAGCCAAAACCAACAAGGAGGUGUUGUGAGAAGCGAAGUGGUAGAGGCAGAGGCCAAGCUGAUGGUCGGAAAGGGAAUAGGUGGCCCAGCUGGAGAUUGUCGUGUCUAAAAAUGUGUUUAAGAAAUGGAAUAAAGAGCUCGCACUCGCACGUGGAU
Molecule: long non-coding RNA, 1114 nt
Organism: Raphanus sativus (radish)
Lineage: Eukaryota; Viridiplantae; Streptophyta; Magnoliopsida; Brassicales; Brassicaceae
Exons: 4
Source: RefSeq, a predicted model, not a curated record